Molecule: ribosomal RNA, 253 nt
Filed under: uncultured bacterium
Lineage: Bacteria
Description: partial 16S ribosomal RNA
Rfam family: Bacterial small subunit ribosomal RNA
Source: RNAcentral
UACGUAGGGUGCAAGCGUUGUCCGGAAUUAUUGGGCGUAAAGAGCUCGUAGGCGGUCUGUCGCGUCGGCUGUGAAAACCCGGAGCUCAACUCCGGGCCUGCAGUCGAUACGAGCAAACUAGAGUGUUGCAGGGGAGACUGGAAUUCCUGGUGUAGCGGUGAAAUGCGCAGAUAUCAGGAGGAACACCGGUGGCGAAGGCGGGUCUCUGGGCAACAACUGACGCUGAGGAGCGAAAGCGUGGGGAGCGAACAGG